RNAcentral lists this long non-coding RNA (1323 nucleotides) under Helianthus annuus (common sunflower). RNAcentral's name for it is "hypothetical non coding rna". Lineage: Eukaryota; Viridiplantae; Streptophyta; Magnoliopsida; Asterales; Asteraceae. The record is from RNAcentral.
UCAUAAGUUAUAUAUAUGAGCUUGGUAGCGAGAGGGGCGGGGGUUUGGACAUUUAGUUGCCCAUUUUGAGCCUAGAGCCGAUCAAUUGUUAACCCAUACCUAGUUCCCUAAAAUUUACCCGUAUUUGACCCGGUCUUGUAAGUUUUAGUAGUUUGUUUUAGUAUGUGUUUAUUAUUGCUAUGUUUAGUUAUAAAAAAAAAAAAAGAAGAAAAAAUCAGAAAAAAAAGAAAGAAGAAAAAAAAGAAAGAAAAAAAAAAGAAAUAAACAUAUGUAUUGUUUUGUAUAUAGAAGUUUAUGUUAUGUUAUGUUUUGUUUUGUUUUCUUAAUGUGUAAUAAAAAGACCGGGUUGAAUCAUGCGCUACUAUUCAUAUAUAUUUCCAUUUCCUACCUAUAUACCUAGCCACGUUACAACCUGCAAGUCCCUUUGUUUCGCAUUCAUGUUUUAGCAAUUUUUAGGCGAAGGAUCCAUUUAGGUACAAGCAUAUUGUUGUGCAAUCACCCAUUUGCCUUGUGUGUGUGUAGCUUAUAUGUUCUAGUUGUUUAUUGUCACCGAGAGGAGAGACAUAGUGAGGGGUGUGUUGCGUGGGUGUUAAGAAAAGGUUAGUAAAAGGACGACUUGUUUUUGUUUGGUUUAAGUUUGAUUGCUUGUUUACUUGGAAAUGGUUUUUGAUGGGUUACUUGGGGGUUUAAGUGUGGGGAUGUGACGGGUGGUCUACGGGACAACCCUUAAGUGUAUUAAAAGACAAGUUAAUCCCCCAUUUAAUCAUGUAAUUGUCUUGAAUUAGAUAACUACAGUUGCUCAUGUUUCAGGUGUGCUCAGGACUUAAAAGGAGUGGAAAUACAGCUUUGUAGGAGAAAGGAUUAAAGCGGGUUUCCUAAAGAAUUGAACGAAGAACAAAGAAGUGGAGCCUGGAGCCUACCAUAACUUACGGUGGCUAUCGUAAGUUACGGUAGCCCCUGAAAGUUUGUUUUUUCCACCGUGCUCCAGUAGUGAUGCACCGUAAAGACUUUUUUGCUACCGUAACUUACGGUGGCUACUGUAAGUUACGGUAGCCUCUGACGCAAAAAGUAUAACUGCCCAUUGUAUGUCCGUUUUCAAGUGCCUUUUCAUCUAUCUCAUGAUUGGGAACGUUUGGCAGGAGUUAUAGGGAGAAUUUUGCCUUGUGCAAGUGUUUGUGAACAAUUCUAAACAUUCCGUUUAUGUUUUCGAUUCGUAUGAACUCUAAACUUUGUGUUAUGAUGAUUCACCAAGCGAUGUGUGGCUAAACUUUCGGUGGUCAUCUUAGGUUGAAGGUUUCUUCUAUGACUCUUAUUUUAUUAUGA